This 71-nucleotide transfer RNA is filed under the name Polymyxa betae. RNAcentral describes it as "tRNA-Gly". It matches the Rfam family "tRNA". Rfam says of the family: Transfer RNA (tRNA) molecules are approximately 80 nucleotides in length. Their secondary structure includes four short double-helical elements and three loops (D, anti-codon, and T loops). The record is from RNAcentral. Lineage: Eukaryota; Endomyxa; Phytomyxea; Plasmodiophorida; Plasmodiophoridae.
GCACCGAUGGUUCAAUGGUAGAAUAGCUGCCUUCCAAGCAGUUGACCCGAGUUCGAUUCUCGGUCGGUGCA